AGAGUUGAUCUGGCUCAGGAUGAACGCUAGCGGCAGGCUAACACAUGCAAGUCGAGGGGCAGCGCGGGUAGCAAUACCUGGCGGCGACCGGCGAAAGGGUGAGUAACGCGUGAGCAACGUGCCCGUAUGUGGGGGGAUAGUCGAUGGAAACGUCGCGUAAUACCCCGUAACACAUUUUCCCGCAUGGGAAGAUGUUGAAAGAUUUAUUGCAUACGGAUCGGCUCGCGUGCCAUUAGGUAGACGGCGGGGUAACGGCCCACCGUGCCGACGAUGGCUAGGGGUUCUGAGAGGAAGGUCCCCCACAUUGGAACUGAGACACGGUCCAGACUCCUACGGGAGGCAGCAGUGAGGAAUAUUGGACAAUGGCCGGAAGGCUGAUCCAGCCAUGCCGCGUGGACCGGGGAAGACGGCCCUAUGGGUUGUAAACCGCUUUUGCGAGGGAGCAAUAAGGGCAACGUGUUGUCCGAUGAGAGUACCUCGCGAAUAAGCAUCGGCUAACUCCGUGCCAGCCGCUGC
This 516-nucleotide ribosomal RNA is filed under the name uncultured bacterium. Its description in RNAcentral is "bacterial SSU rRNA". It matches the Rfam family "Bacterial small subunit ribosomal RNA", at positions 8 to 518 of the family's 1533-position model. The record is from RNAcentral.